GGGCGGCUCGGCGGGCGCCGCACGCAUGCGCCCUCCGCCCUCCCCUCGCGCCUUCGCAGACGCCCUCGUUCCCUCCCUCUCCUACUGUCACGGAAUCACAGAAUCACGGAAUCAUUUAGGUUGGAAAAGACCUCUGCGAUCAUCGAGUCCAACCCAUGACCGAAUACCACCGUGUCAACUAGACCAUGGCAUUAAGUGCCGUGUCCAGUCUUUCCUUAGACACCUGCAGGGACGGUGACUCCACCAUCUGCCUGUGCAGCCCAUUCCAAUGUCUAAUCACCGUUUCUGUGAAGAAAUUCUUCCUCAUGUCCAACCUAAAUCUCCCCUGGCACAGCCUGAGGCCAUGUCCUCUUGUCCUGUCACUUGUACACCGACUCCCAGCUCGCUACACCCUCCUUUCAGGCAGUUGUAGACAGUGGUAAGGUCUCCCCUGAGCCUCCUUCAGGCUAAACAACCCCAGCUCCCUCAGCAGCUCCUCACAGGACUUGUGCUCCAGACCCUUCACCAGCUUCGUUGCCCUUCUCUGGACUCACUCCAGCACCUCAAUGUCCUUCCUGAAUUGAGGGGCCCAGAAAUGGACACAGGACUCGAGGUGUGGCACUGCUCGUGUGAGAUGCAAAGGGCUCGUGGAAGCCCCAGGCUGGAAAGAAGAACUGCAAUCCCACAUUGUCUCAUGGAUAGUCACAAGGUCAUACAGACACGUGAGAGAGGACAUUGGAUCAAGUGCCAUGUCUUAAAAGCUUCUUCAGCUGUUUUUCUCACCGUUUUUGAAAUAAAAAUCUCACAAGCAUUCUCAGUAUGUAUUUAUAAUGUAUACAUGUAAUAAUUUGAGAUAUAAUAAACACAUAGUAAUUCAAAGUCAAA
Molecule: long non-coding RNA, 864 nt
Organism: Pseudopipra pipra
Lineage: Eukaryota; Metazoa; Chordata; Aves; Passeriformes; Pipridae
Exons: 2
Source: RefSeq, a predicted model, not a curated record